GACGAACGCUGGCGGCGUGCUUAACACAUGCAAGUCGAACGGAAAGGCCCUGCUUUUGUGGGGUGCUCGAGUGGCGAACGGGUGAGUAACACGUGAGUAACCUGCCCUUGACUUUGGGAUAACUUCAGGAAACUGGGGCUAAUACCGGAUAGGAGCUCCUGCUGCAUGGUGGGGGUUGGAAAGUUUCGGCGGUUGGGGAUGGACUCGCGGCUUAUCAGCUUGUUGGUGGGGUAGUGGCUUACCAAGGCUUUGACGGGUAGCCGGCCUGAGAGGGUGACCGGCCACAUUGGGACUGAGAUACGGCCCAGACUCCUACGGGAGGCAGCAGUAGAGAAUAUUGCACAAUGGGCGGAAGCCUGAUGCAGCAACGCCGCGUGCGGGAUGACGGCCUUCGGGUUGUAAACCGCUUUCGCCUGUGACGAAGCGUGAGUGACGGUAAUGGGUAAAGAAGCACCGGCUAACUACGUG
This 468-nucleotide ribosomal RNA is filed under the name uncultured bacterium. RNAcentral describes it as "partial 16S ribosomal RNA". It matches the Rfam family "Bacterial small subunit ribosomal RNA", at positions 28 to 507 of the family's 1533-position model. The record is from RNAcentral.